UACGUAGGGUGCGAGCGUUAAUCGGAAUUACUGGGCGUAAAGCGUGCGCAGGCGGUUCGUUGUGUCGGCGGUGAAAGCCCCGGGCUCAACCUGGGAAUGGCCGUUGAGACUGGCGAACUGGAGUGUGGCAGAGGGGGGUGGAAUUCCGCGUGUAGCAGUGAAAUGCGUAGAGAUGCGGAGGAACACCGAUGGCGAAGGCAGCCCCCUGGGCUAACACUGACGCUCAGGCACGAAAGCGUGGGGAGCAAACAGG
Molecule: ribosomal RNA, 253 nt
Filed under: uncultured bacterium
Lineage: Bacteria
Description: partial 16S ribosomal RNA
Rfam family: Bacterial small subunit ribosomal RNA
Source: RNAcentral